AAAGUUGGGUAAUCUCUGUGUAAUCAUGAACAUUUCAGUGGAGGUCUAAAUCUUUUAUUUGUUUGGUAAGUGUGGGUCAAAUAUUUACAACUGAUGUCACUCGUUUAUUCACUGAAAUAUAACACGGAACUAGAAAACUGGUGGAGGGAGGGAGCGCUGGUGGAGGGAGGUGAGAGGAAGGGAAGUGGAGGGUGCAGUGUCAGGAAGAGCGAGGGUGUAGCAGGGAAAGUACUGGUCUGUGCUGCGUGUGGGAAGUGACUUUAGUGGCGGCGUGAAGGCGAGGACACGAGUGAGGUGCUGGCAGGCUGACUGAGCUGCUGAUUGGAUAUGAAAGUGGGCAGCUGGUUCUGUGGGACUUCAAGGGCCGCUGUGCUGAUGUCAGAUACCAGUCUGCUGAACCCCUAAGGUCAUUGUCUUGGCACCACGAGGGAGAGCAGGGUAUGUGCUGUCAUAUGGACCGGUCACUCACAACUUGGACUCUGAAACAAGCCUCUCCCAGACGCCCCCCCCCCCC
Long non-coding RNA from Scylla paramamosain (green mud crab), 514 nucleotides. RefSeq lists it as uncharacterized. The transcript has 3 exons. Lineage: Eukaryota; Metazoa; Arthropoda; Malacostraca; Decapoda; Portunidae. The record is from RefSeq and is a predicted model, not a curated record.